ACUCAACGCGAAUUUUUUUAUAAAGGGUGAGUCAAAUCUGCUAAAGCGUGCCUUUCACAAGGAUACUUGAUCAGUUUGUUAGCCUUAAUCUUGUUUUAUUAAGAGUUU
Molecule: small RNA, 108 nt
Filed under: Bacteroidota bacterium
Lineage: Bacteria; Pseudomonadati; Bacteroidota
Description: Bacteroidetes bacterium 6S RNA
Rfam family: 6S-Flavo RNA
Source: RNAcentral